This 213-nucleotide ribosomal RNA is filed under the name Triticum aestivum (bread wheat). Its description in RNAcentral is "partial small subunit ribosomal RNA". The record is from RNAcentral. Lineage: Eukaryota; Viridiplantae; Streptophyta; Magnoliopsida; Poales; Poaceae.
CUGGACAAUGCAGCGAGUAGCAUGCCCAGAGAUCUUAGCCAAUGGAUAAUGAAGCAUUACAACCCUGAGAUUUCACAGAUAGUCAUUCCAGAAAGGGGGAAGAUUCCUGUAGAUACCACAAGUGUCCGUAGGAUAUGGGGUUUGCCAAAUAAGGGCAGGAAGGUGUGUUUUGAGAAUCGGACUGAAAUCACAAAGGCAAUGUACGGUAUUUAA